GAGGGUAGAGUUCAGUGGCAGAGUUCAUGCCUAGCAUGCAGGAUGUCCUGAGUUCAAUCCCCAGUACCUCUA
This is a transfer RNA of Camelus ferus (Wild Bactrian camel), 72 nucleotides long. It matches the Rfam family "tRNA". Rfam says of the family: Transfer RNA (tRNA) molecules are approximately 80 nucleotides in length. Their secondary structure includes four short double-helical elements and three loops (D, anti-codon, and T loops). NCBI's taxonomy places the organism in Eukaryota, Metazoa, Chordata, Mammalia, Artiodactyla, Camelidae. The record is from Rfam.